UUAUAAUAUACCUCCUCGCAGCUGCAAUGUUGCCCCACUUCACCGCUAUGGGUCCCAGAUCUUAUGGUGAAGAGGCAGCGGCUCUACACAACGAAACACUAGCGUUGCCUCUUCGCCGUUGCAAUGUUGCCCCUUCGCCACUGCAAUGUUGCCUCUUCUUCGCCGCUGCAAUGUUGCCUCUUCUUCGCCGCUGCAAUGUUGCCCCUUCGCCGCUUUGCCGCUGUUAUAACUGUUCUUCCCUUCGACGCUGCCGCUGUUUCCAGGUAUCGCCGCACUUCUACUCCUUUUUCUUCUUCUUCUUCUUUUCUUCUUUCGUCCAAGAUUGAGAAGUGAUAUCAGUAGACAAAUAGGAUGGCUGGAUCCAACCAGCACUCAUCAAUAAGAAAGCAGCAGCAUAGGGCAGCAACGGAACACUCUAGUGAGUGGAGAAAUCAUAACAAAAACCAUACAUAUUGGACUAACGAAGAUGGAGAUAUCUGCACUGGUGUUGGCUUGUGGUUUGAGGGUCGGAGCUGACGGAACAUAUCGUAAGUGCAAGAUUUGAUCUUGUAUGGGCUAUCCAUUGGCAUUGCAUUUCGUGAAGUGCUUCACAGUUGUGUCUUCGGGAAUUUGUGUGGUUUGCCAUGUCAAUUUCUCGUUCUGCUUUGACAUAAACACUUCCAAGCUUGAAAUUUUGAUUGCAGCUUCAGAGCAGAUCAAGUGUGUUCAAAGGCAGCAAAUACUUCAAGAUCGAUCACUGAUAUCAGCCGACAGAUAGGAUGGCUGGAUCCAAGCAGCAAUCAUCAGUAAGAAACCAGCAGCAAGGGCAGCAAGGCAGCAAAACAAAGCUUUCUAAUUAGUGGAGAAAUCAUCACAAAAACCAUAAGAAGACAUACAUAGGGAGGCUACUGCCACCACAACCACCCACCUUCACGACAAACUGUUGUUGUUGGAUUAGACGCAGGAAAUCUAAUUGCUGGAGCUACGCAUGGGGAAGAUGUCUAAUGGUGCAGUGCUCCAAGGGAUGUGCAUACCUGUGCAACUGAUGUUGUAGAGAUUGGCAUUGAUGGUGGCCUCCUCUGUACAGACUUGCUCUAACUUCCAAACCAAUAUAUUGUAUCGAAAUGUCAACAGAGACAAUCGAACUAUGGUUUGCUUGAGCAUCGAGAGAAUAGAUACUAGUUUUUUUUAACUGAAUCUUUAAUUUGGUGGUGUUUUAUAGUUAUUGCCAAUUUGCCAGUGGUGUGUAGAUAUUGUUAAAUAUAUGAUCAGUGAGUGAGUUAGCACCAGUGGUGUGUAGAUGUUGCUAAAUAUAUGAUCAGUGAGUGAAUUAGCAGUGUCA
Musa acuminata AAA Group (dessert banana) is the source of this 1321-nucleotide long non-coding RNA. RefSeq lists it as uncharacterized. NCBI's taxonomy places the organism in Eukaryota, Viridiplantae, Streptophyta, Magnoliopsida, Zingiberales, Musaceae. The transcript is spliced from 4 exons. The record is from RefSeq and is a predicted model, not a curated record.